UUUAUACCAUAAGGUGAUGGCUAACCUAAGCUAAUCUAAUCUAACCUAUCAAAACCAGAACAAACACUAUAGGUCUUGACUCAGAACAUUCAUAUAUGCUUCCUUACUAAUGAUGAGAUUUUCCGUACAGCAAAGUGAGGUCAUUCUGUGUUGAUUUAUACCAUAAGGUGAUGGCUAACCUAAGCUAAUCUAAUCUAACCUAACAAAACCAAAACAAACACUAUAGGUCUUGACUCAGACAAUUCAUGUAUGCUUCCUUACUAAUGAUGAGAUUUUCCGUACAGCAAAGUGAGGUCAUUCUGUGUUGAUUUAUACCAUAAGGUGAUGGCUAACCUAAGCUAAUCUAAUCUAACCUAUCAAAACCAAAACAAAACACUAUAGGUCUUGACUCAGACAAUUCAUGUAUGCUUCCUUACUAAUGAUGAGACUUUCCGUACAGCAAAGUGAGGUCAUUCUGUGUUGAUUUAUACCUUAAGGUGAUGGCUAACCUAAGCUAAUCUAAUCUAACCUAUCAAAACCAAAACAAACACUAUAGGUCUUGACUCAGAACAUUCAUAUAUGCUUCCUUACUAAUGAUGAGAUUUUCCAUACAGCAAAGUGAGGUCAUUCUGUGUUGAUUUAUACCAUAAGGUGAUGGCUAACCUAAGCUAAUCUAAUCUAACCUAUCAAAACCAAAACAAACACUAUAGGUCUUGACUCAGAACAUUCAUAUAUGCUUCCUUAAUAGUGAGGAGACUUUCCGUACAGCAAAGUGAGGUCAUUCUGUGUUGAUUUAUACCAUAAGGUGAUGGCUAACCUAAGCUAAUCUAAUCUAACCUAACAAAACCAGAACAAACACUAUAGGUCUUGACUCAGAACAUUCAUAUAUGCUUCCUUACUAAUGAGACUUUCCGUACAGCAAAGUGAGGUCAUUCUGUGUUGAUUUAUACCAUAAGGUGAUGGCUAACCUAAGCUAAUCUAAUCUAACCUAUCAAAACCAAAACAAACACUAUAGGUCUUGACUCAGAACAUUCAUAUAUGCUUCCAUGCUAAUGAUGAGAUUUUCCGUACAGCAAAGUGAGGUCAUUCUGUGUUGAUUUAUACCAUAAGGUGAUGGCUAACCUAAGCUAAUCUAAUCUAACCUAUCAAAACCAAAACAAACACUAUAGGUCUUGACUCAGACAAUUCAUAUAUGCUUCCUUAAUAGUGAGGAGAUUUUCCGUACAGCAAAGUGAGGUCAUUCUGUGUUGAUUUAUACCAUAAGGUGAUGGCUAACCUAAGCUAAUCUAAUCUAACCUAUCAAAACCAAAACAAACACUAUAGGUCUU
Molecule: long non-coding RNA, 1307 nt
Organism: Eriocheir sinensis (Chinese mitten crab)
Lineage: Eukaryota; Metazoa; Arthropoda; Malacostraca; Decapoda; Varunidae
Exons: 3
Source: RefSeq, a predicted model, not a curated record